This 275-nucleotide ribosomal RNA is filed under the name uncultured prokaryote. RNAcentral describes it as "partial 16S ribosomal RNA". It matches the Rfam family "Bacterial small subunit ribosomal RNA", at positions 524 to 798 of the family's 1533-position model. The record is from RNAcentral.
UACGGGGGGUGCAAGCGUUACUCGGAAUCACUGGGCGUAAAGAGCAUGUAGGCGGAUUGAUAAGUUUGAAGUGAAAUCCUAUAGCUUAACUAUAGAACUGCUUUGAAAACUGUUAAUCUAGAAUGUGGGAGAGGUAGAUGGAAUUUCUGGUGUAGGGGUAAAAUCCGUAGAGAUCAGAAGGAAUACCGAUUGCGAAGGCGAUCUACUGGAACACUAUUGACGCUGAGAUGCGAAAGCGUGGGGAGCAAACGGGAUUAGAUACCCCCGUAGUCCCU